This 655-nucleotide ribosomal RNA is filed under the name uncultured forest soil bacterium. Its description in RNAcentral is "bacterial SSU rRNA". It matches the Rfam family "Bacterial small subunit ribosomal RNA", at positions 64 to 767 of the family's 1533-position model. The record is from RNAcentral.
GAGCGCCCCGCAAGGGGAGCGGCAGACGGGAGAGUAACACGUGGGAACGUACCCUUCAGUUCGGAACAACCCAGGGAAACUUGGGCUAAUACCGGAUACGUCCGUAAGGAGAAAGAUUUAUCGCUGAAGGAUCGGCCCGCGUCUGAUUAGCUAGUUGGUGAGGUAACGGCUCACCAAGGCUACGAUCAGUAGCUGGUCUGAGAGGAUGAUCAGCCUCACUGGGACUGAGACACGGCCCAGACUCCUACGGGAGGCAGCAGUGGGGAAUAUUGGACAAUGGGCGCAAGCCUGAUCCAGCCAUGCCGCGUGGAUGAUGAAGGCCUUAGGGUUGUAAAAUCCUUUCGGCGGGGAAGAUAAUGACGGUACCCGCAGAAGAAGCCCCGGCUAACUUCGUGCCAGCAGCCGCGGUAAUACGAAGGGGGCUAGCGUUGCUCGGAAUCACUGGGCGUAAAGCGCACGUAGGCGGCUUUUUAAGUCAGGGGUGAAAUCCUGGAGCUCGACUCCAGAACUGCCUUUGAUACUGAGAGGCUUGAGUCCGGGAGAGGUGAGUGGAACUGCGAGUGUAGAGGUGAAAUUCGUAGAUAUUCGCAAGAACACCAGUGGCGAAGGCGGCUCACUGGCCCGGUACUGACGCUGAGGUGCGAAAGCGUGGGGA